Molecule: long non-coding RNA, 503 nt
Filed under: Setaria viridis
Lineage: Eukaryota; Viridiplantae; Streptophyta; Magnoliopsida; Poales; Poaceae
Description: long non-coding RNA (SVIR_LNC006394)
Source: RNAcentral
GAGGAUCCUAAAAAUUAAGAGGACAAAUUAUUGUAUAAAUAGUAAUGGUAUAAAUACUAGUUUCAUGUGUAUACUAUAAUAAGAAUUGUAUAUAUAGUUGUAAUAAUUAAUAUUAUGCAUACACUAUUGUUGGGGGGAAAUAUUAACGAUCCCCUACGACACCAUUUAAGGAAGCAGACACGGAGGCCCGGGCCCACCUAGACGUGAUCAAAGCUCCGCCUCGCUCGACCAAGACGCCAGGAUCGGGAACGUCCGACCCCCCCCCUCCCGCAAAGUUUCCGCCUCGCCCGACCGCGACCCCGGGGUCGGGAGUGCCCGACCCCUCGCAUCCGGGUUCCGCCUCGUCCGACCCCAAGCAAAGGGGUCGGGCGCGCUGGGGCCCCCCCGGAGCGGGGAUCCCCCUCGGAUGCGAUCCAGAUGAGCAAAACAGACAAAAUCCUGUGGGUCCGUCGGCCUCGCCAUAAAUGCACCGCAGGCCUGGCAGAGGGAUGGUCGACCGCGCU